GAGUCAGACACGACUGAAGCAACUUAGCAGAUAACAGGGGUAUAAAAAUUAUUAAGUUAUAAAUUUUAGGAUUAUAUAUAAAUCAUGAAUUAUUCAAAACCAUAGACUGUUGACAAUGAUUGAGCCCUGUAGAAUUUCUUAUAUUUUGCUUAGAGUAGUGGGUCCUGAAACUGAGUUAUGUCUGAAGGACUGUAAUAAGUUGGUGGGUGAGAAGCUUCUUGGUAUCUGUUUUAUUGAUUUGUGUUCACUGAUGAUAUCUUUAAGAAGGGAGUUUGGGUGAAAAUUCAAAGAAUCCAAGAGCAUCUAUGGAAUGGGGGUAAAGAUGUGAAAGAGAGAAAAACUCUUUUUCAGUCAAAUCCCAAGUGCUAGAGACCACAUCUAUGUGGAAGGAAGUUUCCAGAAGAAGCAAACAGAGCCAUUAAAAAAAAUUAAUUUGUGAUUUUACUUUCAGACUAGUGGAGAAAUGAGGCCUCAGAAGAAAGAAUGCAGACGGGGGUUUGGGUGUAUCCUAGCAACAGCUAUUUCAAUUAAAAAAGGAUGGGAAGGGCCACCAGUGUUGCCAAGGUUACCAGUAUUUCCUGCUGUCACCAGAGGAAGUUAACUUGUGCAUCAAUCAUAAGGGAAUCAGAUGCUCGGCACUUUGCUACUCUGCCUUUCUCCUCAAGAUAAUCUCUUUCUCAUUCAGAGAUAAUGAGGGUUCUCCACAUCAAAGUUUUACCAAGUUUCUCACAGUGUCAUGGGUGUUAUUAUUUAGUAAGAAAUUACUCUAUGGCCCAGAUGUUAAUAGAAAAGUUUGGGGAAACAUAAAAUACCAAUAAUAACACUAGAUUUUGACAUCAUUUAAGGGAGCAACAAUUCUAUUCAUUUGAUAUGCCCUCCUAUUUCCAAUAAGAUAACAGUUUUAAUUGCCAACAGAGCCAUACUGUAAUAAUGCCUCUAAAUCAGAUAUGUUUGAUUAUUUUUUGGGCGGGGGAGCAGUUUAAAACCAUUUUAUUGAGGGGCUUCAGUGGGCUGAGAGGACAAUGAGACCUGACAUCGUUCUCCCAGCUGGGAUCUCCCCAGCUUCACAGUUGCUGAAAGAUACUUUUGCUUUUAAAAAUAAAAUCACCAUAGUACUUUGUACGUACAUACCAUUAUUUAAGUGCUAUACUCAAUUUUUUAAAAUGACAAGAUUUAAAAACAUCUCUCCAAAUUACUCUUAACAUCAUAAAAAUUUAUUCAGCAGUAUCUUUUCUGCUCGUCAUAGUGUCCAAAGACGGUCUCAAAGGAGGCCGAGAGCACAGGCUCAGGGCCCAGGAGACCUAAG
Molecule: long non-coding RNA, 1306 nt
Organism: Bubalus bubalis (water buffalo)
Lineage: Eukaryota; Metazoa; Chordata; Mammalia; Artiodactyla; Bovidae
Exons: 3
Source: RefSeq, a predicted model, not a curated record